Molecule: long non-coding RNA, 1259 nt
Organism: Oreochromis aureus
Lineage: Eukaryota; Metazoa; Chordata; Actinopteri; Cichliformes; Cichlidae
Source: Ensembl
UAACUCUAUAAAUAAAAAAAAAUGCAUUCACAGAAUUGCUCAGUGUCAGCACCAAACCACCCACCACCCGAUGAAAUUCCCAGCCAACAGGGUAAGAUUUGUGCAAAUUAUAAACCUUUAUUUUCCUGAUCCCUGCCCUGCCUUCAGUCCCCUGUCGUGCUUCAGAUGAUCAACAGGAAGUGUUCAGAGUGCUGUCAGCCCUAUGUAGGUAUCUGAGGAAAGAGCGGUGACAACUGGAGGUUCAGAUGGGUUGCACAGAUUCACACAAGACCCACUACAAUCAGAAGACGACCAACCUGCACAUCGAGAAGCUGUCCUGUCUCUGGCUGGGAGGCCUUCUCCAGCUGCUGCACAUGCUAACAGGCAAAACAUCAGGGAGUAAUACAAGCUUUUAAUGCUUAUGUGAACCACAGGCGUUCUUACAAUGUAUCAACCCGCAGUGAGACUGUAAAAGCAAAAUCUUGCUUUUAAUCUUGCACAAAUAAUAACAGAUUCAGGAAUGUAUUCAAGGAAGAGACUGGCAAAGAAAGAGUGGGAUAGUCAGGGAGCUGAAGGAAGGAGUACUAAAAGGCUAGGUGCACAGCAAAGAGAGAGGUGUCACUGGCACAGCAAAAGGCUUGUAGUGAGUUGUAUGUGAGGCUGGACACUAAGGAGAAAAUGACUUGUAAUGAAUAGGAAGGCACAUAAAUUGUGCUGGAAGAGAGUAACCAAGUAUAGAGACGGAAAUGUGCUAAUGAGAAGACAGUGUGUUGAGAAGAGAGGAGGAGUACUUUGGAUGAAAAUGGAAUUAGAGAAGGAAGUGAGGCAACUCUGAAGAGGAUGGAGACGGGAGGCAUAGAGAGGGUAGGAGUGAAGGCUAACUGUGGCGCUGCAUAAGGAAGUCCUGAGGGGCAGAGAAGUAUGUGAUGGGUUGAGAUUACAUCAGAGAGAGGCUCUGAGCCCCUUCUUGUUUGCACUGGUGAUGGAGAGGCUGACGGAUGAGAUCAGGCAAUAGUCUCUGUGGAUGAUGUUUUCAGACAACCACAGAAAGGAUUCGUGGAUGUAGUGAAGGAGGACAUGCAGGGGGUUGGUGUGACUGAGGAGAAUGCUAGAAAUAGAGUGAUGGUGGCAGAUGAUCCACUGUAGCGACCUCUAAAGGGAGCAGCCGAAAGAAGAAGAAGCACAAAUAAUUCUAAUUAUGCUUUUCUUUUAUUCUCAGUACUAUGUAAAGGAAGUCAAGGUCGUUUCCUCUUACAAUCACUUUGGUCAUGCUGUUCUUA